AGAGGGAUAGAUAUGGCUGUAGAUGGGUAGGGGAGGACAGGGAUAGAUAUGGCUGUAGAUGGGUAGGAGAGGGAUAGAUAUGGCUGUAGAUGGGUAGGAGAGGGAUAGAUAUGGCUGUAGAUGGGUAGGAGAGGGAUAGAUAUGGCUGUAGAUGGGUAGGGUAGGAGAGGGAUAGAUAUGGCUGUAGAUGGGUAAGGGAGGAGAGGGAUAGAUGUGGCUGUAGAUGGGUAGGAGAGGGAUAGAUAUGGCUGUAGAUGGGUAGGAGAGGGAUAGAUAUGGCUGUAGAUGGGUAGGGUAGGAGAGGGAUAGAUAUGGCUGUAGAUGGGUAGGGGAGGAGAGGGAUAGAUAUGGCUGUAGAUGGGUAGGAGAGGGAUAGAUAUGGCUGUAGAUGGGUAGGAGAGGGAUAGAUAUGGCUGUAGAUGGGUAGGGUAGGAGAGGGAUAGAUAUGGCUGUAGAUGGGUAGGGGAGGAGAGGGAUAGAUAUGGCUGUAGAUGGGUAGGAGAGGGAUAGAUAUGGCUGUAGAUGGGUAGGAGAGGAGAGGGAUAGAUAUGGCUGUAGAUGGGUAGGAGAGGAGAGGGAUAGAUAUGGCUGUAGAUGGGUAGGAGAGGAGAGGGAUAGAUAUGGCUGUAGAUGGGUAGGAGAGGGAUAGAUAUGGUUGUAGAUGGUUAGGAGAGGAGAGGGAUAGAUAUGGCUGUAGAUGGGUAGGAGAGGAGAGGGAUAGAUAUGGCUGUAGAUGGGUAGGAGAGGAGAGCGAUAGAUAUGGCUGUAGAUGGGUAGGAGAGGAGAGGGAUAGAUAUGGCUGUAGAUGGGUAGGGGCGGAGAGGGAUAGAUAUGGCUGUAGAUGGGUAGGAGAGGAGAGGGAUAGAUAUGGCUGUAGAUGGGUAGGAGAGGGAUAGAUAUGGCUGUAGAUGGGUAGGAGAGGAGAGGGAUAGAUAUGGCUGUAGAUGGGGGGGAGAGGGAUAGAUAUGGCUGUAGAUGGGUAGGAGAGGGAUAGAUAUGGCUGUAGAUGGGUAGGAGAGGAGAGGGAUAGAUAUGGCUGUAGAUGGGUAGGAGAGGGAUAGAUAUGGCUGUAGAUGGGUAGGGGAG
This 1086-nucleotide long non-coding RNA is filed under the name Salmo salar (Atlantic salmon). RNAcentral's name for it is "lncRNA (ENSSSAG00000121225.1)". Lineage: Eukaryota; Metazoa; Chordata; Actinopteri; Salmoniformes; Salmonidae. The record is from RNAcentral.